Molecule: ribosomal RNA, 504 nt
Filed under: uncultured Gemmatimonadota bacterium
Lineage: Bacteria; Pseudomonadati; Gemmatimonadota
Description: bacterial SSU rRNA
Rfam family: Bacterial small subunit ribosomal RNA
Source: RNAcentral
GAGUUUGAUCCUGGCUCAGGACGAACGCUGGCGGCGUGCUUAACAUAUGCAAGUCACGGGGGCCCGCAAGGGCAACCGGCGAACGGGUGCGUAACACGUGAGCAAGCUUCCGAUUUGUGGGGGAUAGCCGGCCUAACGGCCGGGUAAUACCGCAUACGUUCACUGGGCGGCACCGUCUGGUGAGGAAACCUCCGGGGCAAAUCGAGGCGCUCGCGGCCUAUCAGCUAGUUGGCGGGGUAAUGGCCCACCAAGGCGACGACGGGUAGCUGGUCUGAGAGGAUGGCCAGCCACAUUGGGACUGCGACACGGCCCAGACUCCUACGGGAGGCAGCAGUGGGGAAUAUUGCGCAAUGGACGAAAGUCUGACGCAGCGACGCCGCGUGUGGGAUGAAGCUCUUCGGGGGUGUAAACCACUGUUGCCCCGGGACGAAAUGCCCUUUCGAGGGAAUUGACGGUACCGGGUGAGGAAGCACCGGCUAACUCUGUGCCAGCCGCCGCGGUAAC